Molecule: non-coding RNA, 26 nt
Filed under: Homo sapiens (human)
Lineage: Eukaryota; Metazoa; Chordata; Mammalia; Primates; Hominidae
Source: RNAcentral
UGCCAGUCCAAGAUCAGAAUGCCAGG